This 69-nucleotide transfer RNA is filed under the name Ctenolucius hujeta. RNAcentral's name for it is "tRNA-Ala". It matches the Rfam family "tRNA". Rfam says of the family: Transfer RNA (tRNA) molecules are approximately 80 nucleotides in length. Their secondary structure includes four short double-helical elements and three loops (D, anti-codon, and T loops). Lineage: Eukaryota; Metazoa; Chordata; Actinopteri; Characiformes; Ctenoluciidae. The record is from RNAcentral.
GAGGCCUUAGCUUAAUAAGAGCAUCUGGGUUGCAUUCAGAACGUGUGAGUUAGCUACUCGCAGGUCUUA